This 492-nucleotide ribosomal RNA is filed under the name uncultured bacterium. Its description in RNAcentral is "partial 16S ribosomal RNA". It matches the Rfam family "Bacterial small subunit ribosomal RNA", at positions 29 to 507 of the family's 1533-position model. The record is from RNAcentral.
AGUGAACGCUGGCGGUAGGCCUAACACAUGCAAGUCGAACGGCAGCACAGUAAGAGCUUGCUCUUACGGGUGGCGAGUGGCGGACGGGUGAGGAAUACAUCGGAAUCUACUUUUUCGUGGGGGAUAACGUAGGGAAACUUACGCUAAUACCGCAUACGACCUACGGGUGAAAGCAGGGGAUCUUCGGACCCUGCGCGAUUGAAUGAGCCGAUGUCGGAUUAGCUAGUUGGCGGGGUAAAGGCCCACCAAGGCGACGAUCCGUAGCCGGUCUGAGAGGAUGAUCAGCCACACUGGAACUGAGACACGGUCCAGACUCCUACGGGAGGCAGCAGUGGGGAAUAUUGGACAAUGGGCGCAAGCCUGAUCCAGCCAUACCGCGUGGGUGAAGAAGGCCUUCGGGUUGUAAAGCCCUUUUGUUGGGAAAGAAAAGCAGCAGGUUAAUACCCCGCUGUUCUGACGGUACCCAAAGAAUAAGCACCGGCUAACUUCGUG